Molecule: ribosomal RNA, 61 nt
Filed under: Puccinia dioicae var. micropuncta
Lineage: Eukaryota; Fungi; Basidiomycota; Pucciniomycetes; Pucciniales; Pucciniaceae
Also listed under: 1 other name
Description: partial 5.8S ribosomal RNA
Rfam family: 5.8S ribosomal RNA
About the family: 5.8S ribosomal RNA (5.8S rRNA) is a component of the large subunit of the eukaryotic ribosome. It is transcribed by RNA polymerase I as part of the 45S precursor that also contains 18S and 28S rRNA.
Source: RNAcentral
AUCUUUGAACGCACCUUGCACCUUUUGGUAUUCCAAAAGGUACACCUGUUUGAGUGUCAUG